GAUGAACGCUCGCUACAGGCUUAACACAUGCAAGUCGAGGGGCAGCAUGGUCUUAGCUUGCUAAGGCCGAUGGCGACCGGCGCACGGGCGAGUAACACGUAUCCAACCUGCCGUCUACUCUUGGACAGCCUUCUGAAAGGAAGAUUAAUACAAGAUGGCAUCAUGAGUCCGCAUGUUCACAUGAUUAAAGGUAUUCCGGUAGACGAUGGGGAUGCGUUCCAUUAGAUAGUAGGCGGGGUAACGGCCCACCUAGUCUUCGAUGGAUAGGGGUUCUGAGAGGAAGGUCCCCCACAUUGGAACUGAGACACGGUCCAAACUCCUACGGGAGGCAGCAGUGAGGAAUAUUGGUCAAUGGGCGCAGGCCUGAACCAGCCAAGUAGCGUGAAGGAUGACUGCCCUAUGGGUUGUAAACUUCUUUUAUAAAGGAAUAAAGUCGGGUAUGUAUACCCGUUUGCAUGUACUUUAUGAAUAAGGAUCGGCUAACUCCGUG
RNAcentral lists this ribosomal RNA (490 nucleotides) under uncultured bacterium. Its description in RNAcentral is "partial 16S ribosomal RNA". It matches the Rfam family "Bacterial small subunit ribosomal RNA", at positions 28 to 507 of the family's 1533-position model. The record is from RNAcentral.